Molecule: ribosomal RNA, 1055 nt
Filed under: Salmonella enterica
Lineage: Bacteria; Pseudomonadati; Pseudomonadota; Gammaproteobacteria; Enterobacterales; Enterobacteriaceae
Description: bacterial SSU rRNA
Rfam family: Bacterial small subunit ribosomal RNA
Source: RNAcentral
CAAGUCGAACGGUAACAGGAAGCAGCUUGCUGCUUCGCUGACGAGUGGCGGACGGGUGAGUAAUGUCUGGGAAACUGCCUGAUGGAGGGGGAUAACUACUGGAAACGGUGGCUAAUACCGCAUAACGUCGCAAGACCAAAGAGGGGGACCUUCGGGCCUCUUGCCAUCAGAUGUGCCCAGAUGGGAUUAGCUAGUUGGUGAGGUAACGGCUCACCAAGGCGACGAUCCCUAGCUGGUCUGAGAGGAUGACCAGCCACACUGGAACUGAGACACGGUCCAGACUCCUACGGGAGGCAGCAGUGGGGAAUAUUGCACAAUGGGCGCAAGCCUGAUGCAGCCAUGCCGCGUGUAUGAAGAAGGCCUUCGGGUUGUAAAGUACUUUCAGCGGGGAGGAAGGUGUUGUGGUUAAUAACCACAGCAAUUGACGUUACCCGCAGAAGAAGCACCGGCUAACUCCGUGCCAGCAGCCGCGGUAAUACGGAGGGUGCAAGCGUUAAUCGGAAUUACUGGGCGUAAAGCGCACGCAGGCGGUCUGUCAAGUCGGAUGUGAAAUCCCCGGGCUCAACCUGGGAACUGCAUUCGAAACUGGCAGGCUUGAGUCUUGUAGAGGGGGGUAGAAUUCCAGGUGUAGCGGUGAAAUGCGUAGAGAUCUGGAGGAAUACCGGUGGCGAAGGCGGCCCCCUGGACAAAGACUGACGCUCAGGUGCGAAAGCGUGGGGAGCAAACAGGAUUAGAUACCCUGGUAGUCCACGCCGUAAACGAUGUCUACUUGGAGGUUGUGCCCUUGAGGCGUGGCUUCCGGAGCUAACGCGUUAAGUAGACCGCCUGGGGAGUACGGCCGCAAGGUUAAAACUCAAAUGAAUUGACGGGGGCCCGCACAAGCGGUGGAGCAUGUGGUUUAAUUCGAUGCAACGCGAAGAACCUUACCUGGUCUUGACAUCCACAGAACUUUCCAGAGAUGGAUUGGUGCCUUCGGGAACUGUGAGACAGGUGCUGCAUGGCUGUCGUCAGCUCGUGUUGUGAAAUGUUGGGUUAAGUCCCGCAACGAGCGCAAC